CGGGCCGGGAGCGUCGCCCCACGUCUGGGGGUGGCUGCUGCUCGGAGGUUGCCUUCUCGUCGGAGCCCAGGUGGAAAAAUUUCAGCAAAACAGCACAACGCAACGAGAGAUCCAUAGCAGUGCUGGUCCAACAGAUGUGACUGCGGAAAGACAUGAAGUGAGGAGAAAAUAUCACAUAUUGGAGAACACAGAGUGAAGUGCAAAAUGAAUAACCUUGAAUCAGGUUUUCCUAGUCUGUUUAACUUUGGUGAAGCUUUCGCUUCAACAGAAUCUAAAACUGUGUUUUCUAAUUGAAUGGAUGUUGGUACCUCACUGUGUGAGGUAAGAAGACAAGGGACAGCUAAAACAAAGGGCACACUAGGGCUCCGGGGGAUCUGUGAAUGUGAAUGAAGCAGAUGGCCUUGAAACAAGAGGAGCACGUGGUCAGUGGAGAGAUGAGAAAAGCAAAGGAGAAUGGGGCGGAACACAUGUUCAACUGCACACAUUCAAACUGGACACUUGUCAACGAUUUGUGCUUCUUUUGAGUUCCUGUAUGAUUAGAAGACAGUGAUGUGAUCUGGAAAAUGGAUAAUAAAUUAUUUAGUA
Molecule: long non-coding RNA, 585 nt
Organism: Lynx canadensis (Canada lynx)
Lineage: Eukaryota; Metazoa; Chordata; Mammalia; Carnivora; Felidae
Exons: 3
Source: RefSeq, a predicted model, not a curated record